GCCAGGUGCAGUGGCACACACCUGUAAUCCCAGUGGCUCAGGAGGCUGAGGCAGGAGGAUUGAGAGUUCAAAGCCAGCCUCAGCAACUUAUUGAGGCUCUAAGCAACUCAGUGAGACCCUGUCUCUA
Molecule: small RNA, 127 nt
Filed under: Marmota monax (woodchuck)
Lineage: Eukaryota; Metazoa; Chordata; Mammalia; Rodentia; Sciuridae
Source: RNAcentral